RNAcentral lists this ribosomal RNA (253 nucleotides) under uncultured bacterium. RNAcentral describes it as "partial 16S ribosomal RNA". It matches the Rfam family "Bacterial small subunit ribosomal RNA", at positions 524 to 776 of the family's 1533-position model. The record is from RNAcentral.
UACGAAGGGGGCUAGCGUUGUUCGGAUUUAUUGGGCGUAAAGCGCACGUAGGCGGAUCGUUAAGUCAGGGGUGAAAUCCUGGAGCUCAACUCCAGAACUGCCUUUGAUACUGGCGAUCUUGAGUCCGGAAGAGGUGAGUGGAACUCCUAGUGUAGAGGUGGAAUUCGUAGAUAUUAGGAAGAACACCAGUGGCGAAGGCGGCUCACUGGUCCGGUACUGACGCUGAGGUGCGAAAGCGUGGGGAGCAAACAGG